Molecule: long non-coding RNA, 10203 nt
Filed under: Homo sapiens (human)
Lineage: Eukaryota; Metazoa; Chordata; Mammalia; Primates; Hominidae
Description: non-protein coding lnc-SENP2-2:3
Source: RNAcentral
GACUCGGCGCGGCUGCCUCCUCGGGGCAGAGUCCCGGGCCGGGCGGCGGCGCGCGGACAAAGCGCUCUCUCUGCCUCCCUCUCUCUCCCUCUCAAGGCGGUGGCGGGAGGAGGAGCAGCGGCGGGCGGCGGCAGCGCACCCCGCGUGUGUCUGUGUGAGAGUUUGUACGGGCGUGUGCGCAGCCGAGAGGGAGCGAGCGAGCGCCCCCUCCCCGCCCCGCGCCGCUGCGCCCCUCGCCUCGCGCCCACCGCGCUCGGCAGUGGCUGCUCGGGCUCCGGCCCCGCGCCAGGCGGGCGGAAGCGGGUCGCGGCCCCGGGCUGGGGCUCCGGGCGCCGGAACCCCGGGCGGGCGCGGCGCCGAGGCCGGGCGAGCGGCGGGGCGGGGAAGGCGCGCCCCGGGCGCGGGUGGGAGCGCGCGAGGGGGCGACGGGGAGCCGCGGGCGUGGGAGGGAGAGGGGCUGCGAGUGAGCGCGGAGAGGGGUGUGCGCAAGGUGGACCGGAUGUGAGUGCGCUGCUGCCAGGGCAAGCGGGAAGGUGUGUCCCGGAGGAGGGAGAAGAAUGGCGGGAUUCAGAGGUGAGGAGGCAGAAGAAGAUUCCAAGCUCUGGACCUCUGGGGGCCACUGGGAGAGUUGAAGGUUUGAUCGCGGAUAUGUUGGGUUUUGUGAAGGCGUUGGGGCGCGGGUGCGGGGAGUGUCCUUGGGUGGAGAAGUCACGAAUGUAGGAAUGGAACAAGUUCGGGUCUCCUGACUGGGUCGUGAAGUAGUAUUGUCUUUCCCAAGCUUUCCUGUUGAUGAGCGGCGUGGAGAGAAUGGGGCUUGCUGGAUUUUGUAUUUUCCGCAAGUACUCCCAGGUGAUUCUGGUCUGGUAAACACUGUUGGAGUGGAAGGCCUAUCUGCCCCGGACUCAGACCUUCUCUCUGCCCCCAUCUUUGUGCCCUGAGAUGUUCCAGCAUUCUCGAGCCUAAGUUUCUUCAUCUAUAAGGAGAUAAAAUAACCAGUCCUCGCAGGGCUGUUGUGAGGGCUACAAGAAGGAUAACUGCCUAGCGUGUUGAGACAUGGGUGGUCAGACACUUAAUGCCUGUUUCUCUUCUUUCCCCCAGGAAUUCAUGAACUUUUAAAAUACUUUAUUCUACAGAAGGAGAUCUUCUUAACUAAUUAGGUAUCCAGAGGAGAAAGUAAUGAAUCCAUUUUCACCUAGAUAUUUGCAGUUAUUUGAAUUCUGGCUUUUGUCUCAAGUAUUCACAUAUUUUUUUCUCUCUCUAGAAAAAGAAUCGGAUUUUACUGCUCCAGGAGUUGAGAAUGAACUUGGUUACUAAUCCCCAAAGUAAUAGAUAAACUAGGUGUGGAUGCUUCUUUACUAAAUUGUAUCAGAGAAUCACAAAUGAACAUGACUUGUGCAUGCAUAAACCUCAGCAGACUGAACUAACCAUCUUUAGAUUAUUUACACAUGUGCUCCUAAUUGAUAUGGUCACCUUUAUAUUAUAGGACAGCAUAUUUGCUUAUUAUUCACAGGUACAUGUAAAGGAGAAACGAGAGUGGCAGGAAUAGUUGGCCUCAUUCCUCUCCAACAGAGAAAUAAUUGCUCUUUGCUGCAGUUGUCAGCUGUCCUGCUGGAAUUUUGGAAACAGCAGGGCUGCAGAAGGAGGGCUUGAACUGUAAGUGUGAUGGAGGGCAUGCUUCCACUACACCCCUGGUUUGCAGCAUCUACAGUGCCUUAUCUUAGAAUGCAGAGUUAUUUUUCACAUGAUAGAGAAGGGGUUGGGGACCUUUGAAGACAAUAGGGGACAGCCUCCAAGUGCAAAGUCAGAAAUUCAGAGGCCUUGCUCCUGCCAGGCAAAACUUAUUUUCUACCUGUUUUCUCUCGAGUUCCCCUACUUAUCCCUCCCCCAGAGAGCUGAAACAGAGACCAUCUUGAUUGAUCUAGACUUGGUUUACACCUGAUAAGCCAAGAUUUUAUGAAUGUUUAACAGAGGUCAGAAAUUUGGAGAAAAUCUUAUAGUAGGCAUAUUACCUUUUAAAGCAUGAAUUAACUAAUGUUUUCCUCAAGAGUUUCAAAGGCAGUACAGAUCCUCAUUGUUUCCCAGCGAUUCUUUUGGGCAAGACAGUGAUAAGGUGGCUGGGACAAGCUUUCUUAAUCCUUCUUUUCAGGUAAGAAAACUGAAGCUCAGGAAAGUAUAAUUUUUUCUUAAUCACAUGGAGGGCCUGAAACACACCUGGAAAAAACAUUUUAGUCUAACAACAAAGAGUUCAUAAGUGUUAAGUCUUUUUCUUUUCUUUUUUUUUUUUUUUUUUUAAAAAAAGUCUUACUGUCACCCAGGCUGGAGUGUGGUGGGGUGAUCAUGGCUCACUGCAAUCUCAAACUUCCAGACUCAAGCAGUCCUCCCACCUCAGUCUCCCGAGUAGCUGGGACUACAGAUGCAUGCCACCAUGCCCAGCUAAAAUUUUUUUUAAGAGAUGGGAUCUCACUGUGUUGCCCAGGCUGGUCUCAAACUCUUGAGCUCAAGCGAUCCUUUUGAACCUACAAAGCUAUAGCGGAAUGUUUUUUUGCUCAACUGAUAAUGUAGUCAGUAUAACCAGUGUCUCUAGAUAAUGUGAGAAGUUGAAAGAGAAAGUGAAGCCUAUUUGCUGGAAGGCUGAGGCAAAGCCAACAUUUGGAGGUAAUUCUUAGAAGGUCCUGCACCUGCCUGUGCAUCAGGAAUGAUUUGGUAGUAGGGUAAUGUCCCUUAGACCAGUAGUCCCCAACCAUUUUGGCACCAGGGACCGGUUUCAUGGAAGACUAUUUUUCCACAGACAGGUUGGGGGGUGGUUUCAGGAUGAAACUUCUUCACCUCAAAUCAUCAGGCAUUAGUUAGAUUCUCAUAGGGAGCAUGCAACCUAUCCUCACAUGCGCAGUUCAAAAUAAGGUUCAAGUUCCGAUGAGAAUCUGAUGCCACCGCUGAUCUGACAGGAGGUGGAGCUCAGGCAGUAAUGCUUGCCUGCUCCUCACCUCCUGCUGUGUAGCCGGGUUCCUAACAGGCCACAGUACCAGUCCAUGGCACCAAGGUUGGGGACCCCUGCCUUAGACACCUUUUCUUGAGUUAGCAUAAGAUAAUUGCCUUAUGCCAGUUACUUCAUCUAUUUGAGCUUCAGAUUCCUCAUUUGUAAACUAGCCCAAUUGUUUCCUCACUAUAAACUCUAGCCUACCUCCCCCUGCAGUUUCAUAUUAUGCAAAUGCUAGGUCAUUUCAGAAUUCCGUCUUUUUGCACAUUUGUUCUCUUUCCCUGGAAUGCAUUUCUUCCCCUGGUAAACUCCUGUCUUCCCCUGACUUGGCCCCAUGAUACACACAGCACUUCAUACAGAUAAAAAAUAUUUUGUCUAGUGAUAGUUGUACAACUGUGAAUAUAUUAAAAACCAUUGAAGUGUAUUUUAAGUGAGUAAAUUUUACGGUAUGUGAGUUAUAUCUGAAUUUUUAAACAUGGAGGAUGGAGGGAAGCCUUCCCUACUACAUGGUGGGUUUCUGGAGGAAUAAGAUCUUCUCAUUUUCCUGUUAGAAUUUCCUUUGGCCCGUAUGAAACCUGGUCCAUAAUAAAGGCUCGGGUAAUAUUGUUGAAUAAACAAUGACCAUCUGAGGUUUGCUCUAAGGGAUUAAACGAAGAUGUAUGUGAUGGUAUUUAUCUUGCACAAUCCCCUUGUUGAAUUCAUUUAUUCAUGGCACUGUGUAGUGCUAAGCACUGAGGAUACAGAAUAAAUAAACAUCAUCCUGAUCUCAAGGAAUUUAUGGUCAGUGGAGGAGGCAGAUAUAUAAACAGACCAUAGCAUGGCAUUAGAGGUGCCACAGUAGACUUUGUGAGCAUACAAGAUAGAGCAUCCCAUUCAGCCCAGUGUUGGGGAAGGGAACAUCAGGAAAGAAUUGAUUUUGGUUUUGAAGGAUAAUUAGGGAUUUACUAGAAUACAAGACGUAAGAGAGGAAAUACAUCCUAGGCAGAAAGAAUAGCAUAUGCAAAGGCACAGACACACAAAGUAUCUGUUCCACAUUUGAAAUCCAAUCCAAAUGUUAACUCAGAAAUGUUUGAGAACAAGACAGAAGAAAUAAUGCAAAACAAAAAAGAUUCUCAGAAUCAAAGACAUGGAUCUCCAGAUCAAAGAGUUUGCAGAAGGCCCAGCAAAAUGAAUGAUAGAAGAUCUAAAAAUCACAUCAUCAUGAAAUUCUGAACUCAAAUUAUAAAAGCAUCUGGACAAAAUAGGUCGCAUACAAAGGAGUUGGAACAGGAAUGAGAAUGUAUUUUCCUAAAACAGGAAACUAGGGAGUCAAUAGAGCAAUGCCUUUAAAACUGAGUGGAAAUUAUCUUCAAUCUAGAAUUCUAAACCUAGUGAGACCAUCAGUUUAAAAAGAUAUGCAAGAAUUCAGACAUGCCCGUUUUGGGGAAGCUACUGGGAGAUAAGUGCCAGCAAAACCAUGGAAGAAGAUUACAUGGGAUUUGGGAAAUAAGGAAUCCAACAUGGUAGACUCUGAAUUUAAAAAUCCAGAAUGCCUGCAAUGCAGCCAUCCCACGAGCAACCAGCACAGAUUGGAACAAGAGGAUAGAUGGCUCAGAAUGAGGUCUUCAAGGAACAACAACAAAAUGGAACUCAUUUCUGUGAGUGCAUAAUGAUUAUUUCUGAUAGGAUAGCAGACAUGUUGGAGCAUUUGGAAAAAAUUAAUCACAAGUAUAUGGAAAGCCAGACAAGUGGGAAAACAAGGAAAUCAUUAACUGAAGGAAAAAUACGUGGUCAUACAAGAAAGGAGCAAUGGUCAUAGGCUCAACAGUGAAAAUGUUUGUACAGUCAUAGUGUAAACACUGAUGUAUUAUCCAAGCUGCAUAAAGAGAUCUUAUAAAUCAAUUAGAAAAAGACAACCAUUGGAAAAACGAGCAAAGUGUAUGAAUGGGCUAAUUCACAGAAGAUGAAACUCAAGCUCAACUCAUGAGUAAUUGGGGAAAUUAAAACUAUUCACUGGCUGGGCAUGGUGGCUCAUGCCUGUAAUUCCAGCACUUUGGGAGCCUGAAGCAGGAGGGACUGCUCGAGGCCAGGAGUUCAAGACCAACCUGGUCAAUGAAGUAAGACCCAGUCUCUACAAAAAAAAAAAAAAUUAAAAAUUAGCAGAGUGUGGUAGUACAUACCUGUAGUCCUAGCCAUUCAGGAGGCUGAGGCAAGAGGAUUCCUUGAGUCCAAAAGGUUCAGGCUACAGUGAGCUAUGAUCAUGCCACUGCACUCCAGUUUAGGUGACAGAGCGAUACCCUGUCAUUUAUACAUACAUAUGUACAUAAAAUCAAAUUGACAAAAAUCUUAAAAUUCUGAUGGUUCAAGGGUCUUAGUGAGGGUAUGGAGCAUCAGAAACAGUCAUCCACUGCUGGCAAGAGUAUACACAGGUACAAUUACUCUGAAGAGUAAUUUGUCAGUAUCUAGCAAAGCUGAAGAUACAGGCCCUGAGUACGGCCUGGCAGUCUUUCUCCAAGAUGGUUAUUUCUUAUCUCACUUUCAGCUUCUAAUUGAUCAUCUCCACCCAGGGUCUCAGCUGAUAACCCUGCUUUCUAUUUCACUGAGAGACUAGAAGCAAGCAGAAAAGCACUUCAAAUAUUUGCCCACAUACUUGCAUCUGUGCCCAUAGACUCCAUAUUUCUUAAAUUAUAAUGGAUGACUAUGCAUGAUUUAGAAGAGAGGUAAAAACUGAUGACUCCAGAGAAAAUAAACAUCCACACCCUUUGUGGAAGAAACAUAUAUGACCAUUCAUUGUAGCACUGUGAUGGUGAAAAAUUUAAAUGUCCAUCAACAAUAAAACUGGUACAUUGUGGCAUAGCUAUAAAUUGACUACUAUAUAUUGAGUCAAAGGGGACACAUGUUUAUUCAUUUUCUCUGGAAUCAUUACUGUUUCCUCACUUCUGGAUGAAAUAAAAUAGGCAACGUGUCAACAUUAACCACCUAAACAAAAACAAACAUAUGCUAAGUGAAAAGUUAUAGAAGGAUGUUGGUUAUACGAAGUUUUCUUUCUUUCUUCCCUGCCCCCCAGACCCACCGGAGACAGGGUCUUGCUUUGUCACCCAGGCUGCAGGACAAUGGCAUGAUCUCAGCUCACUGCCACCCCUGCCUUCCAGGCUGAAAGAUUCCUCCCACCUCAGCCUACUGAGUAACUGGGACUACAGGUGUUCACCACCACAAUGGCUAAUUUUUUGUACUUUUGCAAGAGAUGGGAGUUUCGCCAUGUUCCCUAUGAUUGGUCUCGAAUGCCUGAGCCCAAGCUGUCCAUCCUCGUUGGCCUCCCGAAGUGCUGGGAUUAUAGGUGUGAGCCACUACAGCUGAUCUCUACAAAGUUUGAAAACAUGCAAAGCAAUUCUGUUGUUGAUAUGGACACAUUUGUGUGGCAUAAUUGUACAAAAACAUGCAUGGGAACAGCAAACUCUAAAUUGGGGAUAAUGAUUACCUUUAAGGAGGGAGAAAAGGGAAUAGGGGGAGGUGGAAGGGCACAGAUAGAAUUUCUGUUUUUUUAAUUUAAUUUUUUUUUUUACACGGAGUUUCACUCUUGUUGCCCAGGCUGGAGUGCAAUGGCGCAAUCUUGGCUCACCACAACCUCUGCCUCCUGGAUUCAAGUGAUUCUCCUGCCUCAGCCUCCCGAGUAACUGGGAUUGCAGGCAUGCACUACCAUGCCCGGCUAAUUUUUAUAUUUUUAGUAGAGAGGGAGUUUCUCCAUGUUGGCCAGACUGGUCUCGAACUCCCGACCUCAGGUGAUCUGCCAGUCUCAGCCUCCCAAAGUGAUGGGAUUACAGGCGUGAGCCACCAAGCCCUGCCAAUUUUUGUUUUUUAAAAGUAGGUGGCAGGUACAUGGAUGUUUAGUUACAUUUUUAUUACUUCGAGACAGAGGUUAAUUCUUGUCAGAUGUGCAUUAUAAUCACCAAGAAAACCUUCAAAAAUACAGAUUCCCAAGACCUACCAUGAGAACUCCUGAAUCAGAAUUUUCAGGGUAGAAGCCCACGAAUCUAUUUUUCUUUUGUUUUGUUUUACAGUACGUUCUUAAUAUGCUUACCCAGAAUCUACAUUUAAAAAAAAAGUAUAUGUGUGUGUAUAUAUACACAAUAAUAUUACAAGAAGUCCCAUAUACUCUUUACCCAGAUUCCCCAAAUGUUAACAUUUGUUUUAUCUUUUAUGUUUCUCUGAAUCAUAUGCCUAAAUACCUCAGUUUGUAUCUGCUUAAAAAAAAAAUUAGGCCGGGCACGGUGGCUCACGUCUGUAAUCCCAGCACUUUGGGAGGCUGAGGCGGGUGGAUCACCUGAGGUCAGGAGUUCGAGACCAGCCUGGCCAACAUGGUGAAACCCCGUCUCUGCUAAUAAUACAAAAAUUAGCAGGGUGUGGUGGCGCGUGCCUGUAAUCCCAGCUACUCGGGAGGCUGAAGCAGGAGAAUCACUUGAACCCGGGAAGCAGAGGUUGCAGUGAGCCAAGAUCACGCCAUUGCACUCCUGCCUGGACACAAGAGGGAAACUAUGUCUCAAAAAAAAAAAAAAAAAGAAAGAAAGAAAAGUCUAUUCCCAGUACAAUGAUAAAAACCAGUAAAUAAACAUUGAUACUGUAAUCUGCAGACUCUUCAAAUUUCAAAUUUUAUGAAUUGUGUCAAUAUUAUUGCAAAAGAAAAUCCCAGGCCAGGCCGCUUCUGUUUUUUCUACUUUAUUUCCCACCACCACCGCCCCCCCCCCAACCCGCCGCCAUCCUAGUUGUUUUUCUUUUUGUUGUUAAGUAAAAUAUUAACAAGAUUGCAAAACACAGAAUGUAUAGUCAGAGGAAUUCCAUCCCCUCCCCAUUCCUUCUAUUCUGUCCAGUUCAUUUCCACCCAAUCCCUGAGGGUAAACAAUUGUAUUAACUUCUGGUUUCUCUUUCCUGUGUUUCUUUUUUUCUUUUUCUUUUUUUUUUUUUUUGAGACGGAGUCUCGGUCUGUCGGCCGGACUGGAGCACAGUGGCGCGAUCUCGGCUCACUACAAGCUCCGCAUCCCGGGUUCACACCAUUCUCCUGCCUCAGCCUCCCGAGUAGCUGGGACCACAGGCACCCGCUACCACACCCGGCUCAUUUUUUUUGUAUUUUUAGCAGAGACGGGGUUUCACCGACUUAGCCAGGAUGGUCUCGAUGUCCUGACCUCGUGAUCCGCCCACCUCGGCCUCCCAAAGUGCUGGGAUUACAGGCAUGAGCCACUGCACCCGGCCUUUCCUGUUUCUUUUUACACAAAUGAACAUAUACAUGCAUAUUUCCUCCUUUCCUACAAAAAUGGUAGCAUAUUGCCAAUACUCUUUUCCACUUUGUUUUCUUCCUUUAACAAGAGAUCUUGUAUCAGUUCAUAGAAAUCUUUCUCCUUUUUUAAACAGCUGCAUAAUACUCAUAUGCCAUAUAUAUGGGCAUGUCAGUGACUUCCAAUAUAUUGUAAUUUUACAAAAAUGAUGCUAUGAAUAACCUAGUAUGUAUGUAUUGUUGGAGGUUUAUCUUCAGGGUAAAUUCCUAGGAGUAAGGUUGCUAGGUCAAAAAAUAAUACAUGUGCACUGUGCGUGUGUAUGUGUGUUAAAUAUUUAUUGUGAAAUUCUCCAUAGAGAUUAUACCAGCUUGCAUUCCACCAGCACUGUAUGAGUGCCUGUUUCCCAACAGCCUGCCAACAAACUCUGUGAUUACGCUUUUUACUUUUUGCCAAUCUGAUAAGUGAGAAAUUGUAUCUCAGUGUAGUUUUAAUUUGUAAUUCUCUCAUUAUGAGUGAAAACGAACUUUUUUUUCAUGUGUUUAAAGAUCAUCUUUUUUGUUGUUGUUGGGGAUACAUUCUCUGUUCAUGUCUUUUGCCCAUUCUUCUAUUGAAGAGUUUUGAUCUAUUUUUCUUCUCAACUUUUAUGGUUAUUUAAAUAUUAUGGAUGUAAGGUUUUUAUCUGAGAUACGUGUUACAAAUAUUUUCUCCCAGGUUUUAAUUGUCUUUUUACAUUGUUCAUGGUGUUUCUUCCUAUGCAAAAGGUUUUACUUUUAUGUAGUCAAGUUUAUCAAUCUUUUAUUUCAUUUUAUUUAAUUUUGAGUUAUAGUUAGAAUGCUUUCCCCUACCCCAGAUUAAAGAGAAAUUUACUCAUUUUAAAAAUAGUAUGUGUAUGGUGAUAGAUAGAUACAUAAAUAGAUAGGUAGGUAGGUAGGUAGAUCGAUCGAUUCUUUUUUUUUUUUUUUGAUCGAUUCUUGAUCCACUUGGAAUUUGUUCUUGUCGAUGGUAUGAGGUAUGGAUCUCCUUUUACCUUUUUCUUCUAAGUACCUAAUUGUUCCAGUACCAUUUAUUUUAAAAAUCCUUUUGGCCCAGGUGUUUUGAGACACCAUCUUUAUUACAUACUAAAGUUCCAUAUGUACUUGGUCCUACUUCUGGACUUUCUUUUCUACUGGUCUAUCCAUAUUACCAUACUCUACUGUUGUAAAGGCUUUAUGGUAUGUUUUCAUGUCUGGUAGGCCAAGUCCCCCUUGUGACUUUUUUCUUUUCUUAGUAUUUUCCUGGCUAUUCUUGUAUGUUUGCCUUUCUGUAUGAAGUUUAGUAUCAGUUUCUUAAGCUCCAUAAAAAGGUUGUUGGUGCAGCCAUAAAAAAGAAUGAGAUCAUGUCCUUUGCAGGGACAUGAAUGGAGAUGGAGGCCAUUAUCCUUAGCAAACUAAAUCAGGAACAGAAAACCAAAUACCACAUGUUCUCACUUAUAAGUGGGAGCAAAAUGAUGGCAACACUUGUACACAAGAUGAGAACAACAGGCUGGGCGCCGUGGCUCACACCUGUAAUCCCAGCACUUUGGGAGUCUGAGGCAGGUGAAUCACUUGAAGCCAAGGAGUUUGAGACCAGCCUGGCCAACAUGAGGAAACCCUGUCUCUACUAAAAAUACAAAAAACCAGCCAGGCAUGGUGGCGCACACCUGUAAUCCCAGCUACGCAGGAGGCUGAGGCAUGAGAAUCCCUUGAACCCAGGAGGCAGAGGUUGCAGUGAGCUGAGAUCGCGCCACUGCACACCAGCCUGGGUGACAGACUCUGGUUUCCAAAAAAAAGAAGAAGAAGGGAAAAACACACACUGGGGCCUUUUGGAGGGUGGAAGGAGGGAGAGGAUCAGGAAAAAUAAAUAACUAGUGAGUACUAGCCUUAAUACCUCAUGAAAUAAUCUGUAUAAACAAACCCCAUGACACAAGUUUAUCUAUAUAAUAAACCUGCACUUGUACCCUUG